GUGCCAGCCGCCGCGGUAAUACGUAGGUGGCAAGCGUUAUCCGGAAUUAUUGGGCGUAAAGCGCGCGUAGGCGGUUUUUUAAGUCUGAUGUGAAGGCCCACGGCUCAGCCGUGGAGGGUCAUUGGAAACUGGAAAACUUGAGUGCAGAAGAGGAAAGUGGAAUUCCAUGUGUAGCGGUGAAAUGCGCAGAGAUAUGGAGGAACACCAGUGGCGAAGGCGACUUUCUGGUCUGUAACUGACGCUGAUGUGCGAAAGCGUGGGGAUCAAACAGGAU
Molecule: ribosomal RNA, 274 nt
Filed under: uncultured Staphylococcus sp.
Lineage: Bacteria; Bacillati; Bacillota; Bacilli; Caryophanales; Staphylococcaceae
Description: partial 16S ribosomal RNA
Rfam family: Bacterial small subunit ribosomal RNA
Source: RNAcentral